GUGACGUGGGUGCCAGCGGGGGCUGGAAUACGAAGGGGGAAAGCGUUACUCGGAUUUAGUGGGCGUAAAGCGUGCGUAGGUGGCUUUUUAAGUCGGAGGUGAAAUCCCCGAGCUUAACGUGGGAAUUGCAGUCGAGACUGGGAAGCUAGAGUAUGGGAGAGGAUGGUAGAAUUCCAGGUGUAGCGGUGAAAUGCGUAGAGAUCUGGAGGAAUACCGAUGGCGAAGGCAGCCAUCUGGCCUAAUACUGACGCUGAGGUACGAAAGCAUGGGGAGCAAACAGGAUUAGAUACCCGAGUAGUC
This 300-nucleotide ribosomal RNA is filed under the name uncultured Lactobacillus sp. Its description in RNAcentral is "bacterial SSU rRNA". It matches the Rfam family "Bacterial small subunit ribosomal RNA", at positions 496 to 795 of the family's 1533-position model. Lineage: Bacteria; Bacillati; Bacillota; Bacilli; Lactobacillales; Lactobacillaceae. The record is from RNAcentral.